Molecule: transfer RNA, 72 nt
Filed under: Loxodonta africana (African savanna elephant)
Lineage: Eukaryota; Metazoa; Chordata; Mammalia; Proboscidea; Elephantidae
Rfam family: tRNA
About the family: Transfer RNA (tRNA) molecules are approximately 80 nucleotides in length. Their secondary structure includes four short double-helical elements and three loops (D, anti-codon, and T loops).
Source: Rfam by way of RNAcentral
GCCCUGGUAGCUCAAUGGUUAAGUGCUCAGCUCCUAAAUGAAAAGUUGGUGGUUCAAACCCACUCCAGGGCU